UGCCUAAGAGAUCACAGCUGGGAAUAUUGAACAGCCCUUAGAUGACGAUGGCAUAUGGUUUGAAUGCAAUGUGCCCUUUCGAGUAAAUAUUCCCUUUCCUAUUAGCAUGAAGAAUCUAUUUGGAUCGCAGUUGUUUGAAGCCAAUAGCA
This 149-nucleotide small RNA is filed under the name Drosophila melanogaster (fruit fly). RNAcentral describes it as "partial mlncRNA69E2-1b". The record is from RNAcentral. Lineage: Eukaryota; Metazoa; Arthropoda; Insecta; Diptera; Drosophilidae.